Capsicum annuum is the source of this 326-nucleotide long non-coding RNA. RefSeq lists it as uncharacterized. Lineage: Eukaryota; Viridiplantae; Streptophyta; Magnoliopsida; Solanales; Solanaceae. The transcript is spliced from 2 exons. The record is from RefSeq and is a predicted model, not a curated record.
CCAGUGUAGUUUUUCCAGUGAGUGGCUAAUUCCCGAGUGAUUAUAUUCCAAAUUGUCCAUUGUGUGUCUCUCUUUGAUUCAUAUAUUGUUGGGGUAAAGCAUGUUUUAAUGUUUAUCCUCAUGAAUCUUAGGUUCAUCGAAUAUAUUCAUUGAUACUUCGUCACGAUAUCAAACCAAAUUGCGAGACCUUCAGGAUUAUGAUAAAUAUGACUGUGAGGUCGAAGGAUUUUGAAGGCGCAUAUGGCAUGCUCAAGGAUUUGGAGAAGUUCAACGUGAGGCCUACCCCAGGCAUGUACAAUGCCAUAAUGGCAGGAUAUUUCCGAGAG